Molecule: ribosomal RNA, 270 nt
Filed under: uncultured bacterium
Lineage: Bacteria
Description: partial 16S ribosomal RNA
Rfam family: Bacterial small subunit ribosomal RNA
Source: RNAcentral
AGCGAACGCUGGCGGCGUGCCUAACACAUGCAAGUCGAACGUGAACGGGGGCAACUCCUAGUAAAGUGGCGUACGGGUGAGUAACGCGUAGGUAAUCUACCAAAGUGUCUGGAAUAACCUGCCGAAAGGCGGGCUAAUACUGGAUAGAGCGACGGAAUCCGUAAUUGGGUUUUUCGGGAAAGGGAGGCAGCAAUGCCCUUCGCACUUUGAUGAGCCUGCGUCUCAUUAGCUAGUUGGUGGGGUAACGGCCCACCAAGGCAUUGAUGAGUA